GACGAACGCUGGCGGCGUGCUUAACACAUGCAAGUCGAACGGUGAACCUCUUCGGAGGGGAUCAGUGGCGAACGGGUGAGUAACACGUGGGCAACCUGCCCCCGGCUCUGGGAUAACUCCAAGAAAUUGGGGCUAAUACCGGAUGUUCACCGCUUCCCGCAUGGGUGGUGGUGGAAAGGGUUUCCGGCUGGGGAUGGGCCCGCGGCCUAUCAGCUUGUUGGUGGGGUAGUGGCCUACCAAGGCGACGACGGGUAGCCGGCCUGAGAGGGUGACCGGCCACACUGGGACUGAGACGCGGCCCAGACUCCUCCGGGAGGCAGCAGUGGGGUAUAUUGCGCAAUGGGCGGAAGCCUGACGCAGCGACGCCGCGUGGGGUAUGACGGCCUUCGGGUUGUAAACCUCUUUCCGCAGGGACGAAGCGCAAGUGACGGUACCUGCAGAAGAAGCACCGGCCAACUACGUG
This 463-nucleotide ribosomal RNA is filed under the name uncultured bacterium. Its description in RNAcentral is "partial 16S ribosomal RNA". It matches the Rfam family "Bacterial small subunit ribosomal RNA", at positions 28 to 507 of the family's 1533-position model. The record is from RNAcentral.